This is a long non-coding RNA of Raphanus sativus (radish), 1089 nucleotides long. RefSeq lists it as uncharacterized. The record is from RefSeq and is a predicted model, not a curated record. The transcript has 3 exons. Lineage: Eukaryota; Viridiplantae; Streptophyta; Magnoliopsida; Brassicales; Brassicaceae.
CGGUGGGUAUAACCACGUAUCUUAACAUUAAUAUGCUUAAAAUUAAAUCAAAAUUAGAGAAAUAAAAGAGGGACGUUAACUAAAUAAGAACUUUUCUUCUCCCGUCCUUGGAAGCACGUGUCAUGAAGUGAAGACCGAAGGGAUUGAGGUCUUCUUCCUCCUCUCCUCUCUCUCCAAUCCAGUGUCUCAUCGGAAUCUUCAAACCACCGGCGAUGCGUCUCAAUUCCAGUUGAUACGAGUCCAUAGCCUUAGGUUUCUUCAAUUCUGUUACCGGAAAUUGGAGCUGAAGGCGGGCGUCUCUCUGGUUGAGAAGACUGACCAUGGAAGUCUCCUAGUCUCUCUCAUCUCUAUCUCUCUCCGACUCCGUCGGUUUCGAAUCCAAAUCGUAAUCCGUCGGCGAUUCCGGCUGGCUCUCAUCCUUGGUCUCUCGGCGUCAUCGUCAGCGAGUUCUUCUGUUAGGCUGCCAACAGCUACUGGUGAAGUCUUGGAGAGGUGGAAGGGAGAAGAGUGACAAGAAGACUGACACGACUUGUCUCUCAUCGUCGUUCCUCGUGCAAGACGUUGUGGCUUACGGAGGCUAUGCUUUUGGUGGUCUAUGCCUUGUGGGUUUUGCUAAGAUCAUGUGGGGAUACUCGUAUUACGCGCUGAUGCCAAGGACGCUUUUGGUGGUCUAUGCCUUGUGGCCUUUGAGACUGUAUUGGCUUUCUCUUGUAAAAUUGUCUGGAACUGUCAAGAUGCAAAUGAAGCUUCUCGAGCGUUGGUGGGUUCUGCACUCAUGGUUGAAGCCUUGAAGCCUUGCUCAGCUCUUCUCAAAGCUAAGGAAAUAAACCUCCAUAGUUUUCAUAUAUUCUCAGACUCUCAAGUCUUCAUAUCUACCCUGUGCUUAGGGUCUGUUUUGAACGAGAUCGCAGGUGUUCUCCAUGACGGUAGAAGCGUUUCUACUCUCUUCAAUUCUCUAUCUUUUAGUUUCAUUCCAUGUUCAGGUUUUUUCUCUGGCAAAGACUAGCCUUGAAUGUAUGAACGUUAUAACCUUUGUGUUUUAAGUUGAAUGAAAGAAAUAGUUGACAAAAAAAAAUUAACCUUAUUAAC